CAAUUAACAAUCUAAAGUUUCUAAUCAUAUUCUAACAAAUCUAAUUAGAAGUUAAAAUCUAAUCAAUCUCUAAUGAAAUAAUUAAUCUAAUUAAUUUCUAAAACCUAAAUCAAGUUCUAAAAAUUAAUCAGUCUAAUUAAUUUCUAAAAUCUAAACAAGUUCUAAAAAUUAAUUAAUUUAAAGUGAUGAAUUGGAUGGAAGGGGAGAAUGCAAGUCAAAGUCACGCAUGUCUCACGGCAAUAGGCUGGGAGAAGUUAAUCACGUGUUAGCCAGUCAACCAGAUAUUUAAACGUAUUAUUUCCCUCAUCCUGAGCUAACUUAUGUCUGCCGCGUUGGAGAUCUCCUCCGGCGGCGGCGAAACCCUAAUGUCAACAUAAUCUAUAUCAUCUCCUUCACCUUCGUCUCAUGAUUACAAAUAUCACCAUAAUACAAUCCAAUUCUUUUUCAAAGAUCUGAACCGAAGAAAUGUAUUGAAGAACCAUAAAUCUUAGAUUCAAAAUUAAAUCAAAACCACAUGGAACCAAAGACCGAUAGGUUGGGUCUUUGAUUCCCCAAGCCCCCCUCUACAUCCCUGUAACCAGCAUGAAGCAAAUCAUUGAAGAAAGAAGAUCACUCACCAGCACCGAUGAUGGAAAUCAGGUCUAGGUGAGGACCUUGAUACAAGUUAGGGGUUGCAGGCUGACUUGUGGAACUAGUUUAACCAUGUUAUUGGGAGCAAAUUGGUGAUUGAACCAUGUGAUUGCAUUCAAACUACAGACCAAGGCAUGCUACAGGCUUUUCCAUUCAAUUUGUUUGUUGCACUCCAACGGUUUCUGCAUGGAUGUGUUGUUGUUUAGAUGCUAUCCAUGUUCUACAUGGUUAUACUAUGGUUGUUUGUUAUGUAAUGCAAAUGAUGUAGUAGUGUAAUGUAUGUUGACUGGCUUGCUCAUGUUGGUGGUUUAAUGCUUGUUCCUGCAGGUUCAUGCUUGUGUAACAGUAUGAUUGGUAAGUAUGUGUGGAUUGCAGCAUCUAUGUGUGUGUUUAGGUCCUGAUGCAGGUUGAGCAUGUGUAGAACAACGAAAAUUGGUUUGGAUUGAACAAGAUGCUAGCCAUGAUGAAUAUACAUGCUGCUACUACAUUGUGAAUGAUGUUGAACUGAACUCAUGUUAACCAUUUCCCUGCUGUUGAUUGUUGUUGUUUUGUAGGUCUACUGUAGAAUUUUGGAAGGCUUUUUGUCAUUUGUAUUGCAUAUGGCUGCUUAGAUCAUGAAUAUGUGCAUGUAUGUGUUCAUGUUAGUUGUUAUCUUUUAUGAAAUAUGGGAUAGGUUAGGCAUAAUCUUCGAAUGUAUGCUUGGUUUGAUCUUGUUUGGAUUGAUGGCUGCAUGAUUUUAGUGCAAGGCCUAUUUUAGUGCAAGGCCUGGUUUGUGUGAUUGGUCAUGGUUGCAAGGAAAAAUCUAAAUGUAUUGAAAGCAUGAGCAAAUUCAAGGCAUGACAAACUUGGUGCAAAAUGGCUUUCUUGACAUGAAGCAAUAUGGUGAUAAAAUCUCAUGAAAUAAUGCAAGAGUGAAUAUGUAAUGCACAUUAGUGUUUAGAUUAUGGAAAAAAGGUUGGUUGACCAAAAAAUCAACAGUUGACCAAAAGUCAACCUUUGUAAAAAUUGCAUUUUUUGCAUUUCCUUUUGUAAUUGACAAUGUAAAUGCUAUUUUAAUGAUUGAAUAAUCAUUUACUUGAAUGAAA
This is a long non-coding RNA of Lathyrus oleraceus (garden pea), 1715 nucleotides long. RefSeq lists it as uncharacterized. The transcript is spliced from 2 exons. NCBI's taxonomy places the organism in Eukaryota, Viridiplantae, Streptophyta, Magnoliopsida, Fabales, Fabaceae. The record is from RefSeq and is a predicted model, not a curated record.